RNAcentral lists this ribosomal RNA (253 nucleotides) under uncultured bacterium. RNAcentral's name for it is "partial 16S ribosomal RNA". It matches the Rfam family "Bacterial small subunit ribosomal RNA", at positions 524 to 776 of the family's 1533-position model. The record is from RNAcentral.
UACGAAGGGUGCAAGCGUUGCUCGGAAUUAUUGGGCGUAAAGGGUAGGUAGGUGGUUGCGUAUGUCUGAGGUGAAAGCCCUAAGCUUAACUUAGGAAGUGCCUUGGAAACGGCGUAACUAGAGUACUGGAGAGGUUCGUAGAAUUCCCGGUGUAGUGGUGAAAUGCGUAGAUAUCGGGAGGAACACCAGUGGCGAAGGCGACUACCUGGCCUGUUCUUGACGCUGAGGCGCGAAAGCUAGGGGAGCAAACGGG